Long non-coding RNA from Scophthalmus maximus (turbot), 1701 nucleotides. RefSeq lists it as uncharacterized. The transcript has 3 exons. The record is from RefSeq and is a predicted model, not a curated record. Lineage: Eukaryota; Metazoa; Chordata; Actinopteri; Pleuronectiformes; Scophthalmidae.
GGGGUGUCAGCCGGCAGCCAUGUUUGUUUGCCCUGCGAGGUAGGCUACCUGUGUAAUUACCCCUAACGAAGUGACCUGUUUUGAUUCGGAGUGAAAUCUAAUCCCCCGGCCCGGGAUGAGGACGUGGAAGUGGGGGUCUGAGGUUGCUUUGGGGAUUUUUCCCUUUCUUUUUUUUGAAGUGCGAGCUUGGCCGCGGCUCUGACGAGCCGGAGCUGAUGUUUCAAGGGGGCGGAAAAGGUUCAGUUGACCUGUCUCGUACAGUAGAUGCACGAAGACACACACUCGAGAAAAAGUUCCCCCUCAGCUUGGACACAGUGCACACGAACGUCUGCUCCUGUGAAUCAUUUGAGCCCUGGCAGCGGUACAAAAAAGAAAAGAAAAAAACAACCUCAAAGAGAGUCUUGUUGGCAGGAGGCUGCAGCUCUUCACCUCUCAGUAAAGGUUAGCGAGAACACAAUGUGGCUGUUCCUCAUGCUCUGCAUCUCUCUCUCUCUCUCUCUCUCUCUCACUUUCCCUUUUCAGUCGUUCUGUUCUACCUUUAUCUCACCUCUCCUUUUCCCUCCUCCUCUUCCACUUACAGGAAAACGAUUACUGCAUUUGACAUCCACACUGGAAUUCACCCGCAUGCCUGCCUGCGCACGCACACACACGCACGCACACGCACGCACGCACGCACGCACAACUAUAUUUCCAUUACCCCUCAAUUUCGUCCAAUAGCAAACCUUAAAUAUGUGAGAAAACCUUCCAUCGUAUGCAAGGGUUAUUCUAUUGUUUGAGUUUGUUCUGAUGUGUCACACUUUUUACACAGAAGAGUUUGUGAUGUGAGAAUAAUUAAGAAAACAGGAUUCAGGGCUUCUUGACUGUAGGAGGCCGCAGAGCUUCUCAUAUGCUUCCUGCGGCCGAUAGGCAGCGUCAUCACGCCGUGGUCAACGCCACAAACACACAUCAUCCUCCACAGUGCCGAUCAUGAAGAUUUCGUGCAGACUUGGGGAGGGUGUGCGUUCACUCGCACAAUGACGUGAGCGUCUGUCGGAGAGGCGUUGGACUGUACAAGGAACAAGAGCCAAGCAGGAGACGCUGCAUGAGGGCUGAGGGUAAAUCCUCCUUCUUCCUGUUCUUCUUCUCCUUCAGCCGUUCCCUCUUUUCCCCUCCAUCCAUCCAUCCCUCCAUCUCCCAUCUCAUCCCCAACGCCUCAUAAGGAUUCCAUUGAGGAGAAGCAACUCUUGUUGAUGUUUAAGCAAGCUACAUGCAAAUGAAGCCGGAGGCCGACCAAAAGAGACCAAACUGGGACGACCAGGGAAAGAUGGACCACAGGUCGAGAUAAAACUGUACUCUCCAGUCAUUUGAUGGUUGUAGUUGACGCAGAAAAAAAACCCUCACCUGUAUCUUCAUGUUUACCAUAUGGCACAUAUAGAGACAAAAAAGUGUUAUCUAUGAAAGAGCAUAGAAGGAUUACAUAGUCUUUGAGUUGUGUUGUCAGUUGUGCUGGUCAUACUCUUUGAAUUUCACUGUGAGGUUGAAAAAAAAGGGGAAAAAAAGAAAGACGACCUUCCACUUUUAUUAUCCACAAUAUUAAUCUGCAACACCUUCGCGUCAACGAGACUUCCUCCCACUCCUGAGAUAAAAAUUCAUACGGUGAUAUGUCAACGCGAGUCUCCCGGACUUCUGGACACCAGACAAAAUAAAGUUACAGUUCAUCUC